Molecule: ribosomal RNA, 468 nt
Filed under: uncultured bacterium
Lineage: Bacteria
Description: partial 16S ribosomal RNA
Rfam family: Bacterial small subunit ribosomal RNA
Source: RNAcentral
GACGAACGCUGGCGGCGUGCUUAACACAUGCAAGUCGAACGGAAAGGCCCUGCUUUUGUGGGGUGCUCGAGUGGCGAACGGGUGAGUAACACGUGAGUAACCUGCCCUUGACUUUGGGAUAACUUCAGGAAACUGGGGCUAAUACCGGAUAGGAGCUCCUGCUGCAUGGUGGGGGUUGGAAAGUUUCGGCGGUUGGGGAUGGACUCGCGGCUUAUCCGCUUGUUGGUGGGGUAGUGGCUUACCAAGGCUUUGACGGGUAGCCGGCCUGAGAGGGUGACCGGCCACAUUGGGACUGAGAUACGGCCCAGACUCCUACGGGAGGCAGCAGUGGGGAAUAUUGCGCAAUGGGCGGAAGCCUGAUGCAGCAACGCCGCGUGCGGGAUGACGGCCUUCGGGUUGUAAACCGCUUUCGCCUGUGACGAAGCGUGAGUGACGGUAAUGGGUAAAGAAGCACCGGCUAACUACGUG